AAUGGGGGAUAGCCCGGCGAAAGCCGGAUUAAUACCGCAUAUGCCCUGAGGGGGAAAGUGGGGGAUCGCAAGACCUCACGUUUUCGGAGCGGCCGAUAUCAGAUUAGCUAGUUGGUGAGGUAAAGGCUCACCAAGGCGACGAUCUGUAGCUGGUCUGAGAGGACGACCAGCCACACUGGGACUGAGACACGGCCCAGACUCCUACGGGAGGCAGCAGUGGGGAAUUNUGGACAAUGGGGGCAACCCUGAUCCAGCCAUGCCGCGUGAGUGAAGAAGGCCUUCGGGUUGUAAAGCUCUUUCGGACAGAAAGAAAUCGCACAGGAUAAUACCUUGUGUGGAUGACGGUACUGUAAGAAGAAGCACCGGCUAACUACGUGCCAGCAGCCGCGGUAAUACGUAGGGUGCGAGCGUUAAUCGGAAUUACUGGGCGUAAAGCGUGCGCAGGCGGUUUUUUAAGACAGGCGUGAAAUCCCCGGGCUUAACCUGGGAACUGCGUUUGUGACUGGAAGACUAGAGUGUAGCAUAGGGGGGUAGAAUUCCA
RNAcentral lists this ribosomal RNA (541 nucleotides) under uncultured Gallionellaceae bacterium. RNAcentral describes it as "bacterial SSU rRNA". It matches the Rfam family "Bacterial small subunit ribosomal RNA", at positions 135 to 671 of the family's 1533-position model. The record is from RNAcentral. Lineage: Bacteria; Pseudomonadati; Pseudomonadota; Betaproteobacteria; Nitrosomonadales; Gallionellaceae.